AUAGAAACAAUCUACAUAUACAUUUUUGCAUCCAUUUUGUGAAAUAAAUCUUGGAGUUGGGACUUAUUUACAAUGGCUGCCACUGGCAUUUAUUAUUUAGUUUUACAAAAUUUUAAAAGAUAUUAACCAAACGAUAUUUUGCCUAAUUUAUUUCUAAAAAUCUUUACACAAUCUUUCCAUAUAUCUUCAAAAAU
RNAcentral lists this small RNA (194 nucleotides) under Arabidopsis thaliana (thale cress). RNAcentral describes it as "ATSL094400". The record is from RNAcentral. Lineage: Eukaryota; Viridiplantae; Streptophyta; Magnoliopsida; Brassicales; Brassicaceae.